CAGCCAGAAGUUUUGGAAGAGUCCUGGGAGAAAACGUUAAGGCUUAAAUUCUGAUCUUUCAAAGACUUAUUUAACUGGUUUUCCAUGAAAUGUUGUUUUAAAAGAAAACGCGAGCACUUUUGAAAGAUAACGCAAAUUACGCUGUCGGGAACUGGCGUAAUGAUAAUGAGCCUUCAACCAAUUGUAGCUUACAGUAAUUGCUGUCUGAUGGCUGAAAAAAAAGCAUUUCACCAAGCCAACACCAGGAAAAGCCAGGUGCAAUAUCUGCAGCAGACUGGUGAGCUUGGGAGCUGAAGAAGGUAAA
Paramormyrops kingsleyae is the source of this 304-nucleotide long non-coding RNA. RefSeq lists it as uncharacterized. NCBI's taxonomy places the organism in Eukaryota, Metazoa, Chordata, Actinopteri, Osteoglossiformes, Mormyridae. The record is from RefSeq and is a predicted model, not a curated record.